CCUCUUUUCUUCCUCCUUUUUUCCUAUUUCCCCAUUUGUUAAACCCUUAUGCAGCGACGCCGCGUGAGUGAAGAAGUAAUUCGUUAUGUAAAGCUCUAUCAGCAGGGAAGAAAAUGACGGUACCUGAGUAAGAAGCCCCGGCUAACUACGUGCCAGCAGCCGCGGUAAUACGUAGGGGGCAAGCGUUAUCCAGAUUUACUGGGUGUAAAGGGAGCGUAGACGGCAGUGCAAGUCUGGAGUGAAAGGCGGGGGCUCAACCCCCGGACUGCUCUGGAAACUGUACGGCUGGAGUGCAGGAGAGGUAAGUGGAAUUCCUAGUGUAGCGGUGAAAUGCGUAGAUAUUAGGAGGAACACCAGUGGCGAAGGCGGCUUACUGGACUGUAACUGACGUUGAGGCUCGAAAGCGUGGGGAGCAAACAGGAUUAGAUACCCGGGUAGUC
Molecule: ribosomal RNA, 440 nt
Filed under: uncultured bacterium
Lineage: Bacteria
Description: partial 16S ribosomal RNA
Rfam family: Bacterial small subunit ribosomal RNA
Source: RNAcentral